UGGAAAGUAGCUCAUUGGGUAGAGCAGCUGGCUCAUAACCAGUCGGUAGCAGGUUCGAAUCCUGCCUUUCGAU
RNAcentral lists this transfer RNA (73 nucleotides) under Candidatus Competibacteraceae bacterium. Its description in RNAcentral is "tRNA-Ile". It matches the Rfam family "tRNA". Rfam says of the family: Transfer RNA (tRNA) molecules are approximately 80 nucleotides in length. Their secondary structure includes four short double-helical elements and three loops (D, anti-codon, and T loops). Further hydrogen bonds mediate the characteristic L-shaped molecular structure. tRNAs have two regions of fundamental functional importance: the anti-codon, which is responsible for specific mRNA codon recognition, and the 3' end, to which the tRNAs corresponding amino acid is attached (by aminoacyl-tRNA synthetases). tRNAs cope with the degeneracy of the genetic code in two manners: having more than one tRNA (with a specific anti-codon) for a particular amino acid; and 'wobble' base-pairing, i.e. permitting non-standard base-pairing at the 3rd anti-codon position. Lineage: Bacteria; Pseudomonadati; Pseudomonadota; Gammaproteobacteria; Candidatus Competibacteraceae. The record is from RNAcentral.